GCAAUUAUACGGCGAAACUGCGAAUGGCUCAUUAUAUAAGUUAUCGUUUAUUUGAUAGCACCUUACUACUUGGAUAACCGUGGUAAUUCUAGAGCUAAUACAUGCUGAAAACCCCGACUUCGGAAGGGGUGUAUUUAUUAGAUUAAAAACCAAUGCCCUCUGGGCUCUCUGGUGAUUCAUGAUAACUCUUCGAAUCGCACGGCCUUGCGCCGGCGAUGGUUCAUUCAAAUUUCUUCCCUAUCAGCUUUCGAUGUUUGGGUAGUGGCCAAACAUGGCUGCAACGGGUAACGGAGGGUUAGGGCUCGACCCCGGAGAAGGAGCCUGAGAAACGGCUACUACAUCCAAGGAAGGCAGCAGGCGCGCAAAUUACCCAAUCCCGACACGGGGAGGUAGUGACAAUAAAUACUGAUACAGGGCUCUUUUGGGUCUUGUAAUUGGAAUGAGUACAAUUUAAAUCCCUUAACGAGGAACAAUUGGAGGGCAAGUCUGGUGCCAGCAGCCGCGGUAAUUCCAGCUCCAAUAGCGUAUAUUAAAGUUGUUGUGGUUAAAAAGCUCGUAGUUGAACCUUGGGCCUGGCUGGCCGGUCCGCCUCACCGCGUGCACUGGUCCGGCCGGGCCUUUCCCUCCGCGGAACCCCAUGCCCUUCACUGGGCGUGGCGGGGAAACGGGACUUUUACUUUGAAAAAAUUAGAGUGCUCCAGGCAGGCCUAUGCUCGAAUACAUUAGCAUGGAAUAAUGAAAUAGGACGCGCGGUUCUAUUUUGUUGGUUUCUAGGACCGCCGUAAUGAUUAAUAGGGACAGUCGGGGGCAUCAGUAUUCAAUUGUCAGAGGUGAAAUUCUUGGAUCAAUUGAAGACUAACUACUGCGAAAGCAUUUGCCAAGGAUGUUUUCAUUAAUCAGGAACGAAAGUUAGGGGAUCGAAGACGAUCAGAUACCGUCGUAGUCUUAACCAUAAACUAUGCCGACUAGGGAUCGGACGAUGUUAUUACUUGACUCGUUCGGCACCUUACGAGAAAUCAAAGU
RNAcentral lists this ribosomal RNA (1023 nucleotides) under Hirsutella citriformis. RNAcentral describes it as "SSU rRNA". It matches the Rfam family "Eukaryotic small subunit ribosomal RNA", at positions 69 to 1104 of the family's 1831-position model. The record is from RNAcentral. Lineage: Eukaryota; Fungi; Ascomycota; Sordariomycetes; Hypocreales; Ophiocordycipitaceae.